AGUAUUACACCGCAAUAACCACGAAAUUUAUUAUUUUCGUCUCUAAAUCCGCGUAAAAGUUUCACUUUUCAUCCGCUUAGGUUAUGUUUAGUUCGCAACGUAUUUCAAUAACUUUUAUUUGUUCGCUAUAAUAAUAAAUUUACAACAACGGAACCUACACUGAAAUUUUUAUAGAUCCACCGAAACUAUUAUUAUUUAUAGAAUAUAUGCGACAGAUAUUUA
This is a non-coding RNA of Cinara cedri, 222 nucleotides long. Lineage: Eukaryota; Metazoa; Arthropoda; Insecta; Hemiptera; Aphididae. The record is from the annotation of a GenBank genome assembly.